Molecule: ribosomal RNA, 498 nt
Filed under: uncultured bacterium
Lineage: Bacteria
Description: partial 16S ribosomal RNA
Rfam family: Bacterial small subunit ribosomal RNA
Source: RNAcentral
GACGAACGCUGGCGGCGUGCCUAAUACAUGCAAGUCGAGCGAAGUUUUUCUGGGCUUGCACUAGAAAAACUUAGCGGCGAACGGGUGAGUAACACGUAAAGAACCUGCCUCAUAGACUGGGACAACUAUUGGAAACGAUAGCUAAUACCGGAUAACAGUAUUUCUCGCAUGAGAGAUAUUUAAAAGUUGGUUAUGCUAACACUAUGAGAUGGCUUUGCGGUGCAUUAGCUAGUUGGUGGGGUAAAGGCCCACCAAGGCGACGAUGCAUAGCCGACCUGAGAGGGUGAUCGGCCACACUGGGACUGAGACACGGCCCAGACUCCUACGGGAGGCAGCAGUAGGGAAUCUUCCGCAAUGGGCGAAAGCCUGACGGAGCAACGCCGCGUGAGUGAAGAAGGAUUUCGGUUCGUAAAGCUCUGUUGUUAGGGAAGAAUGGAUAUGUAGUAACUAUACAUGUAAGAGACGGUACCUAACCAGAAAGCCACGGCUAACUACGUG